UUUUCAGCUAUUUAUACCCCUUCUUCCUACCCCCCUUAACCUACGCCUCCCAUUCAUUCUUCUUUUCUUUCUCUCUCCACUUUUUUUUUUUUUUUUCUUUUCUAGGGUUUUUUUUUUCAUAGCCCCUUUCAUCAUAUCUCUAUGAUUAUAUCAAAACCAUAUUAUAUAUACCAUUUUCUCGUAUAAUAUAUGGUUCUAUUUUUAUUUUUCCACAGCUUUCUUGAACUGCAUCUCUAUUUUUCAUGAUAUUUUUCAUGAUUUCGGUAAUUCUUGUAAAAAACAAAAUGUGAAAAUUCUGGGUUGCGGUUCAAUAAAGCUGUGGGAAGAUACAAAUAGAAUCACCCAAUUAUUCUCGAAGAAUUUUUAUUUAUUUGAUAGUAUAUUCAAGAAUCAAGAUCCAUCCUUUAUUAUUUGCUGAUGAUACGGGCGUGAGAUUUGGGUUCGAUUCGAGACUUAACAAAGUUCCAAGACAAAGAAAUAAUGUAGUCUUCAAAGGCAUUUCUUAUUACUUGUACUUGAGCUUAGCUUCUAUAUUAUGUUUGAUUAGUUUUUUAAAAUUGCAAUCUUUCUCAAUCAAAGAAGCUAACUAAAAGAGGGAGUAGGUGUUCAAAUAAGUGCUAAUUGCAUCAAAUUAUCAUAAUUACUUAUACCUACUUAAAUUUUGUGAUUAAAUGCUCUCUCUAUCUAGGGCAUGGAGAUAAUGUUCAAGUUUUUUCGACCACUAAAAAGUUAUAGAUAUGACACGACUUUAUCAAAAUAAUAUCCCUAUCGUCAAUUUUUAACCUAACAUAUCUAAGCGCGAUAUAUAUAUAUAUUGUUUAUUACUUUCCGAAGGAGGAAGUAAGUUGAUCCUAGGACAUGACAUGAAGAUAUCAAUGAAAGAGACUGUAUAGAGUUCCUUUACAACUAGACUAUGUGAUUGUAUAUGUAGUGUAGUUGUAAAGAAGUAUUAGAAGCAGAGAAUCUCUUGAUACUAUUGAAUGAAGAAACGGACCACGAUAUUAAUAGGUUUUGCUAGAUGACUUUGAUGAAUUUAUCCCCACAAAAAUGUGCAAAUUGUAUUUUAUUUGAUUUAUUUUUAAUUUUUAGGAGGCUUUUAAACCAUUCACAUGGAAACUAUGGGUUAGGUGAGGCUUUUAUGAUGAGAAAGGUACUUGUGAAUAUUGUGACUAAGAUAAAAACAAAAAUAACCAUCACUUUGCAUGAAUUUUAGGAGUUUAUCAUUCAUAUACAUGUAAAGAGCACAAUUUGGGAGCAAAAGGGAAUACUAUUAGCCUUUUGUUUGUUGGAAUUGAAUUUUUGGUAUUUUUUUCCUAGGGUGUGUAAAUCUUCAUGACCUUAAAUCCUACACUCAUGUUUAUCUUAUUCUUCUCAAUGAACAAAUCGUGCUUUUGUCA
Molecule: long non-coding RNA, 1397 nt
Organism: Chenopodium quinoa (quinoa)
Lineage: Eukaryota; Viridiplantae; Streptophyta; Magnoliopsida; Caryophyllales; Amaranthaceae
Exons: 2
Source: RefSeq, a predicted model, not a curated record